GACGAACGCUGGCGGCGUGCCUAACACAUGUAAGUCGCACGGGACCGGGGGCAACUCCGGUUCAGUGGCAGACGGGUGCGUAACACGUGAGGAACCUGUCCGACGGCGGGGGAUAGCCGGCCCAACGGCCGGGUAAUACCGCAUACGAUCGUUUGGGGGCAUCCCCGAGCGAUGAAAGCAGCCGCAAGGUUGCGCCGAUGGAGGGUCUCGCGGCCUAUCAGCUAGUUGGCGGGGUAACGGCCCACCAAGGCGACGACGGGUAGCUGGUCUGAGAGGAUGGCCAGCCACAUUGGGACUGAGACACGGCCCAGACUCCUACGGGAGGCAGCAGUGGGGAAUCUUGGACAAUGGGCGCAAGCCUGAUCCAGCCAUGCCGCGUGAGUGAUGAAGGCC
Molecule: ribosomal RNA, 393 nt
Filed under: uncultured bacterium
Lineage: Bacteria
Description: bacterial SSU rRNA
Rfam family: Bacterial small subunit ribosomal RNA
Source: RNAcentral